RNAcentral lists this ribosomal RNA (497 nucleotides) under uncultured bacterium. Its description in RNAcentral is "partial 16S ribosomal RNA". It matches the Rfam family "Bacterial small subunit ribosomal RNA", at positions 28 to 507 of the family's 1533-position model. The record is from RNAcentral.
GAUGAACGCUGGCGGCGUGCCUAAUACAUGCAAGUCGAGCGAACGGACGAGAAGCUUGCUUCUCUGAUGUUAUCGGCGGACGGGUGAGUAACACGUGGAUAACCUACCUAUAAGACUGGGAUAACUUCGGGAAACCGGAGCUAAUACCGGAUAAUAUUUUGAACCGCAUGGUUCAAAAGUGAAAGACGGUCUUGCUGUCACUUAUAGAUGGAUCCGCGCUGCAUUAGCUAGUUGGUAAGGUAACGGCUUACCAAGGCAACGAUGCAUAGCCGACCUGAGAGAGUGAUCGGCCGCACUGGAACGGGGACACGGUCCAGACUCCUACGGGAGGCAGCAGUAGGGAAUCUUCCGCAAUGGGCGAAAGCCUGACGGAGCAACGCCGCGUGAGUGAUGAAGGUCUUCGGAUCGUAAAACUCUGUUAUGAGGGAAGAACAUAUGUGUAAGUAACUGUGCACAUCUUGACGGUACCUAAUCAGAAAGCCACGGCUAACUACGUG